UAAAUGUUGUCUCUUGAGGCCAGGAUGCUAAAGCCCCGUGGCUUUUAUUGACAGUUUGAUUACAAAUGUGUCGUCCAAAGUGAGUAAGAAUUGGGCAUAUCAUGAAAACAAAAAGGCUUGAGGUUGGUGACCAAAAAGAAAAAAGACAAAGACGAACAAACAAACAAACAAAAAGAGCUAAAAGGGCGAGCAACGCCAUCAGAGAACCAUAAACACACCACGUUGGUCGGUAUUGGGCUUUAAAACGAUGUUGGGGACGAACGGAGUCCAAAGCCGACAGUGUUGGCCUUUUAACGAAAAGUUUACACUUGUGUAGUUCAUCCCACUUCUUUGGAUGGAAGUUUAUUGGAUGACUUGGACAAAGCGUAAUUGUAUCGUCUGGUAUCAAUGGAAAGUCUCAAAAGUCUCUGAGGAAAAGUUACAUGCAUGCCCGUGCAACAUGUGCCUCAGGUGAAUUCGAAGAGCAAAGUGAUUGAAAGAAAAUCGUUCUAAUCAAUGCCUUAUAGGACUUGUUAUCUCGGCUGGGAAUGCUGACGAACAUACCAGAAAGUUAUUUGCAAAAUCUGUGGCUUGUUCACCAAUUCCAGAUUCGUUGGUGUUAAGGGUAUUACAAAGGCUCCCGCCCAAGUUUGCCAUUGAGAUUUAAUAUGCCAAAUGGCUGUGAUGAUGAAAAAUGAGUGAUUUUCAUUUCAUCAGGCACACAAGGAUUAAUUCUGUAGGGAACCUAAAGGCUCAUAAUGCAGUUUAGAGCAUUUAGGAAGCCAGUGACACUUGCCACCAUUAUGAAAAUUUACAAAAACACUGACCAAGAAUGUCACCAAAAAAGAUUCCUUGCAAGGGUGUUUCAUCUGAAAAUGGAGCUUUUAAUGAACAGAAGACCAAGAGUAAGAAAAAGGCAAAGUAGACCAAGAAAAUACUUUGUGUAAUAUGCAUACAUUGAAAGACAAUAUUUAUUUGUUAAUCCUUUGCCUUGUAACUAUGGGCAAGGUGAGCCAAACUUACAUAUUCUGCAAGUGUCUCUAUAGUAAUUUGAUAUCAUCUUUUCAAUCCUUAAGUAUCUUUUAAGAAUGCUGUGCUGGAGGACUUAAAGGAAGGAGUGCACUCAAUGAGUAGUCACUGUGGCUCCUCCUCCUUUGGGUUUCUUCUAUAAACCUGUUUGGCCUCUGAAGCAUAACUGUUUUAGGAGAAGAGAAAAUGUUUUGGAUCAUACCAUGAUGACUUGAGUGUUUUAUCAGUCCCAUCUGUUGUCUGAAGCAAGAAAGCAGGCUUGGGAGAAAAAGUUGCCAUUCUGGAUCAGUUUUUUUGGCAGCAUUGUCCUGGCAAUUAUGGAAAAAAAAUCAAGUGAAUGUGCUUAAUUCCUGUCAUGAAGGAUUUGAUGAAAUGGAGUAAAGUGACUGACAGGUUGUGAUUUAUUGAUAAGCAAUCCAAGACUGGGGUAAAAAUAUUGCUCACAGCUGAUAUUCAACUUUCAAGCAUACUAUCUUUAGUUAAUGGCUUCUUUGUAAUUCAAUUCAAAAUAAGAAAGUGUCCAAUGCAAUAAGUUGUUGGAAUAAGAAACACAAUGGCUGUCUUUACUCAUUGGAAAUUAUGGUGGAGGCUUACAUUUUGUAUCUUAAUAUCAGUCUAAAUAAAAAAUAAUGGUAUUAAAGAUGUUUUCACCCUAAGCAAAUCCAAAUAGAAACUUAUUCAAAUU
Molecule: non-coding RNA, 1693 nt
Organism: Pocillopora verrucosa
Lineage: Eukaryota; Metazoa; Cnidaria; Anthozoa; Scleractinia; Pocilloporidae
Source: RefSeq, a predicted model, not a curated record